GGACUACCUUCUUCCAGCUGCAGAUUUAUUACCGAACUUUGCGCUGAAAUCACAAGGCGCAAAGGUUUUACAAUGGAUGCCAUCGGCCGUACAUCCUGGCCAAAUACAGAGAUGCAGUGGGUUUGGGUUUGCCCCAGAACGGCCAUCGAUCCACCCAGACAUUGUUAUUCAGGGGAGGACUCGCCUACACCCAGGAGAGUGCUGGGGAUUUGAAGGUUCCCAGGGACAUUUAGUCAUCGCCCUGUCCCACAGAGCUGUCAUUAGUCAAGUCACCUUGGGUCACAUUCCUAAAAUGGUGUCCCCAACUGG
This is a long non-coding RNA of Gambusia affinis (western mosquitofish), 309 nucleotides long. RefSeq lists it as uncharacterized. The record is from RefSeq and is a predicted model, not a curated record. Lineage: Eukaryota; Metazoa; Chordata; Actinopteri; Cyprinodontiformes; Poeciliidae. The transcript has 3 exons.